UACGGGGGGGGCGAGCGUUGUUCGGAAUCACUGGGCGUAAAGGGCGCGUAGGCGGCCCGCACAAGUCUGCGGUGAAAACCCCCGGCUUAACCGGGGGCCGGCCGUGGAAACUGUCGGGCUAGAGGCCGGGAGAGGGCAGCGGAAUUCCCGGUGUAGCGGUGAAAUGCGCAGAUAUCAGGGGGAACACCAAUUGCGAAGGCAGCUCGCUGGGACGUUACUGACGCUGAGACGCGAAAGCGUGGGGAGCAAACAGG
RNAcentral lists this ribosomal RNA (254 nucleotides) under uncultured bacterium. Its description in RNAcentral is "partial 16S ribosomal RNA". It matches the Rfam family "Bacterial small subunit ribosomal RNA", at positions 524 to 776 of the family's 1533-position model. The record is from RNAcentral.